This 468-nucleotide ribosomal RNA is filed under the name uncultured bacterium. RNAcentral's name for it is "partial 16S ribosomal RNA". It matches the Rfam family "Bacterial small subunit ribosomal RNA", at positions 28 to 507 of the family's 1533-position model. The record is from RNAcentral.
GACGAACGCUGGCGGCGUGCUUAACACAUGCAAGUCGAACGGAAAGGCCCUGCUUUUGUGGGGUGCUCGAGUGGCGAACGGGUGAGUAACACGUGAGUAACCUGCCCUUGACUUUGGGAUAACUUCAGGAAACUGGGGCUAAUACCGGAUAGGAGCUCCUGCUGCAUGGUGGGGGUUGGAAAGUUUCGGCGGUUGGGGAUGUACUCGCGGCUUAUCAGCUUGUUGGUGGGGUAGUGGCUUACCAAGGCUUUGACGGGUAGCCGGCCUGAGAGGGUGACCGGCCACAUUGGGACUGAGAGACGGCACAGACUCCGACGGGAGGCAGCAGUGGGGAAUAUUGCACAAUGGGCGGAAGCCGGAUGCAGCAACGCCGCGUGCGGGAUAACGGCCUUCGGGUUGUAAACCGCUUUCGCCUGUGACGAAGCGUGAGUGACGGUAAUGGGUAAAGAAGCACCGGCUAACUACGUG